Molecule: ribosomal RNA, 253 nt
Filed under: uncultured bacterium
Lineage: Bacteria
Description: partial 16S ribosomal RNA
Rfam family: Bacterial small subunit ribosomal RNA
Source: RNAcentral
GACGUGGGGGGCCAGCGUUGCUCGGAAUUACUGGGCGUAAAGGGUUCGUAGGCGGUGCGGCAAGUCGGGAGUGAAAUCUCUGGGCUUAACUCGGAGGCUGCUUCCGAAACUGCCGUGCUCGAGUGCGGGAGAGGCGAGUGGAAUUGCAGGUGUAGCGGUGAAAUGCGUAGAUAUCUGCAGGAACACCCGUGGCGAAGGCGGCUCGCUGGACCGCAACUGACGCUGAGGAACGAAAGCUAGGGGAGCAAACAGG